Molecule: ribosomal RNA, 464 nt
Filed under: uncultured Klebsiella sp.
Lineage: Bacteria; Pseudomonadati; Pseudomonadota; Gammaproteobacteria; Enterobacterales; Enterobacteriaceae
Description: bacterial SSU rRNA
Rfam family: Bacterial small subunit ribosomal RNA
Source: RNAcentral
CCUACGGGAGGCUGCAGUGGGGAAUAUUGCACAAUGGGCGCAAGCCUGAUGCAGCCAUGCCGCGUGUGUGAAGAAGGCCUUCGGGUUGUAAAGCACUUUCAGCGGGGAGGAAGGCGUUAAGGUUAAUAACCUUGGCGAUUGACGUUACCCGCAGAAGAAGCACCGGCUAACUCCGUGCCAGCAGCCGCGGUAAUACGGAGGGUGCAAGCGUUAAUCGGAAUUACUGGGCGUAAAGCGCACGCAGGCGGUCUGUCAAGUCGGAUGUGAAAUCCCCGGGCUCAACCUGGGAACUGCAUUCGAAACUGGCAGGCUAGAGUCUUGUAGAGGGGGGUAGAAUUCCAGGUGUAGCGGUGAAAUGCGUAGAGAUCUGGAGGAAUACCGGUGGCGAAGGCGGCCCCCUGGACAAAGACUGACGCUCAGGUGCGAAAGCGUGGGGAGCAAACAGGAUUAAUACCCUGGUAGUC